UUGACCUCAAAUCAGGUAGGACUACCCGCUGAACUUAAGCAUAUCAAUAAGCGGAGGAAAAGAAACUAACAAGGAUUCCCCUAGUAACUGCGAGUGAAGAGGGAAAAGCUCAAAUUUAAAAUCUGGCAGCUUCGCUGUCCGAGUUGGAAUUUAA
This 154-nucleotide ribosomal RNA is filed under the name Armillaria sp. 6 TG-2016. Its description in RNAcentral is "partial large subunit ribosomal RNA". It matches the Rfam family "Eukaryotic large subunit ribosomal RNA", at positions 1 to 153 of the family's 3401-position model. The record is from RNAcentral. Lineage: Eukaryota; Fungi; Basidiomycota; Agaricomycetes; Agaricales; Physalacriaceae.